RNAcentral lists this ribosomal RNA (522 nucleotides) under uncultured Glomeraceae. Its description in RNAcentral is "SSU rRNA". It matches the Rfam family "Eukaryotic small subunit ribosomal RNA", at positions 569 to 1092 of the family's 1831-position model. Lineage: Eukaryota; Fungi; Glomeromycota; Glomeromycetes; Glomerales; Glomeraceae. The record is from RNAcentral.
AGCAGCCGCGGUAAUUCCAGCUCCAAUAGCGUAUAUUAAAGUUGUUGCAGUUAAAAAGCUCGUAGUUGAAUUUCGGGAUUAAUAUGUUGGUCGUGCCUUGGUACGUACUGGCAUUUAUUGAUUCCUACCUUCUGAAGAACCUCGAUGUCAUUAAUUUGGUGUCUUGGGGAAUCAGGACCGUUACUUUGAAAAAAUUAGAGUGUUUAAAGCAGGCUCGCGCUUGAAUACAUUAGCAUGGAAUAAUGAAAUAGGACGUUUGAUUCUAUUUUGUUGGUUUCUAGGAUCGACGUAAUGAUUAAUAGGGAUAGUUGGGGGCAUUAGUAUUCAAUUGUCAGAGGUGAAAUUCUUGGAUUUAUUGAAGACUAACUACUGCGAAAGCAUUUGCCAAGGAUGUUUUCAUUAAUCAAGAACGAAAGUUAGGGGAUCGAAGACGAUCAGAUACCGUCGUAGUCUUAACCAUAAACUAUGCCGACUAGGGAUCGGAUGAUGUUAAUUUUUUAAUGACUCAUUCGGCGCCUUACG